AACGAACGCUGGCGGCAUGCCUAACACAUGCAAGUCGAACGAGACCUUCGGGUCUAGUGGCGCACGGGUGCGUAACGCGUGGGAACCUGCCUUUAGGUUCGGAAUAACUCAGAGAAAUUUGAGCUAAUACCGGAUGAUGUCUUCGGACCAAAGAUUUAUCGCCUUUAGAUGGGCCCGCGUUGGAUUAGCUAGUUGGUGGGGUAAAGGCCUACCAAGGCGACGAUCCAUAGCUGGUCUGAGAGGAUGAUCAGCCACACUGGGACUGAGACACGGCUCAGACUCCUACGGGAGGCAGCAGUGGGGAAUAUUGGACAAUGGGCGAAAGCCUGAUCCAGCAAUGCCGCGUGAGUGAUGAAGGCCUUAGGGUUGUAAAGCUCUUUUACCCGAGAUGAUAAUGACAGUAUCGGGAGAAUAAGCUCCGGCUAACUCCGUG
RNAcentral lists this ribosomal RNA (433 nucleotides) under uncultured bacterium. RNAcentral describes it as "partial 16S ribosomal RNA". It matches the Rfam family "Bacterial small subunit ribosomal RNA", at positions 29 to 507 of the family's 1533-position model. The record is from RNAcentral.